RNAcentral lists this ribosomal RNA (181 nucleotides) under Zapteryx exasperata (banded guitarfish). Its description in RNAcentral is "partial small subunit ribosomal RNA". Lineage: Eukaryota; Metazoa; Chordata; Chondrichthyes; Rhinopristiformes; Rhinobatidae. The record is from RNAcentral.
CACCGCGGUUAUACGAGUAACACAUAUUAAUACUUCACGGCGUAAAGGGUGAUUAAAAAUAAUCUUACUUUACUAAAGUAAAGACCUCAUCAAGCUGUCAUACGCACUUAUGAAUGGAAAACCCAACCAACGAAAGUAACUUUACAAAAACAGAAUUUUUGACCUCACGAUAGUUAAGACC